Molecule: unclassified non-coding RNA, 431 nt
Filed under: plant metagenome
Description: partial contains 5.8S ribosomal RNA, internal transcribed spacer 2, and large subunit ribosomal RNA
Rfam family: 5.8S ribosomal RNA (bases 1-102)
Source: RNAcentral
AAACUGCGAUAAGUAGUGUGAAUUGCAUUUAGUGAAUCAUCGAAUCUUUGAACGCACCCUGCACUCACUGGUAUUCCGGUGAGUACGCCUGUUUCAGUAUCUUUGAAAACACACAAUCAAAACAUUUUCUUUGGUUUGAUUGGCUUUGGGUCUAUCAAAAAGUUUGGCUUGUUUCUUACAAGCCAAGCGGCCUGAAAUAUAUUGUCUGGCUAAUUGCAUCGUUGAUGAUCGCUAUUAGACUUUGGCUUUUUUAAAUGAACUGGAGGUUGAUUAACCAGUUUUAGCUUUAGUCAAAUGGUCAUUGUAAAAAAAAUCUCGAUCUUGGCUAGGUGUUUAUAGCCGAAAAUUUUUUUUUGGCUAUAACCGAAACCAAUAUAAUCACAUUUAGUUAUCGAUCUGAAAUCAGGUGGGACUACCCGCUGAACUUAAGC